Molecule: long non-coding RNA, 690 nt
Filed under: Carica papaya (papaya)
Lineage: Eukaryota; Viridiplantae; Streptophyta; Magnoliopsida; Brassicales; Caricaceae
Description: long non-coding RNA (CPAP_LNC000717)
Source: RNAcentral
GACAGUCUGGAUUUGUUCCCACUUUAAGCGCGAUCGGACAGAUAAGAUCGAUCGUGAUGGAUGACCCAAAUCAAAACAGGAUUGAUAUAAAUACAUCGCAUCAUACGGGAACCCAAACCCAAGUCGCCAGCUCCCGUCGGAGAAAAAAAAUCAGACACCGGAGAAGGAGGCCGACUGUCGACUGCCACCAUACCAGAAUCACCGUCGACCGCCAAAAAAAGUAAAAUUUCUCGUACCUGCUCGGAAUUUGAUUCCGAGCACCCUCGUGGCCAAAUCAGAGCAAAAGGAAUGAUGCAUGAGCUAGAAACCGCGGGCGAAGCCGCCACGGCAAAGUCUCAAAACCCCUCCGAUGAACCCCUUUCAGAUUUUCGUUUCACGUGAUUUUUCGAUCAUUGUGUCCACCGUCCUUUUCUGUGCAGGUUAGCCAAAGAAAGAACCUCAGUCGCAAAGGAGAACCGGUGGAGCCGCUGCAUCCGGAGGUCCCCCGCUGGUAGGUUUGGUUUUCUGUGAUUUUUCAGUCAACUGAGGCCCCUAACGUGUUUUUCUGCAAGGAUACGGCCAAAACCGCUCAAAACCGGCUAGGCCGAGACGAACCACCAUCGUGCUAGAACCCCAAAAUUGGCCGGAAUGAGUUUUGAACACCGAUUUUGGAUUUCUAGGGUAUUUUUAGGUACGUGAGAAGUGUUUUGG